Molecule: ribosomal RNA, 240 nt
Filed under: uncultured bacterium
Lineage: Bacteria
Description: partial 16S ribosomal RNA
Rfam family: Bacterial small subunit ribosomal RNA
Source: RNAcentral
CACGCCGUAAACUAUGAUUACUCGUUUUCAGCGAUAUACUGUUGGAGACUAAGCGAAAGUGAUAAGUAAUCCACCUGGGGAGUACGAUCGCAAGGUUGAAACUCAAAGGAAUUGACGGGGGCCCGCACAAGCGGUGGAGCAUGUGGUUUAAUUCGAUGAUACGCGAGGAACCUUACCAGGGCUUAAAUGCAGAACGCAUGAAGUGGAAACAUUUCAGUCUUCGGACGGUCUGCAAGGUGC